Molecule: ribosomal RNA, 207 nt
Filed under: uncultured bacterium
Lineage: Bacteria
Description: partial 16S ribosomal RNA
Rfam family: Bacterial small subunit ribosomal RNA
Source: RNAcentral
CGCGUAGGCGGUUUGCACAGUCAGGCGUGAAAUUCCCGGGCUUAACCUGGGGGCUGCGUUUGAUACUCGCAGACUAGAGGAUGGAAGAGGGUCGUGGAAUUCCCAGUGUAGAGGUGAAAUUCGUAGAUAUUGGGAAGAACACCGGUGGCGAAGGCGGCGACCUGGUCCAUUACUGACGCUGAGGCGCGACAGCGUGGGAGGCAAACA